CGAGUCGAGAGGGUUCGGCCCUCGGCAGACUGUUCAGUAACACGUGGAUAAUCUACCCUUAGGCGGAGGAUAACCUCGGGAAACUGAGAAUAAUACUCCAUAGAUCUAAGAUGCUGGAAUGCACUUAGUUUGAAAGCUCCGGCACCUAAGGAUGAGUCUGCGGACUAUCAGGUUGUAGUCAGGGUAAUGACCUGACUAGCCUCCGACGGAUACGGGUUGUGAGAGCAAUCGCCCGGAGACGAUAUCUGAGACACGAUAUCGGGCCCUACGGGGCGCAGCAGGCGCGAAACCUUCACAAUGUGCGAAAGCACGAUGAGGGGAUCCCAAGUGCUGGCUCGUAAGAGUCAGCUGUUUCUAUGUCUAAAAAAUAUAGAGAGUAAGAGCUGGGUAAGACGGGUGCCAGCCGCCGCGGUAAUACCUGCAGCUCAAGUGGUGGCCGCUAUUAUUGGGCCUAAAACGUCCGUAGCCGGUUUAAUAAAAUGCCUGGGUAAAUUGCGUAGCUUAACUAUACGAAUACCGGGUAGACUGCUAGACUUGGGACCGGGAGAGGCUAGAGGUACUCCUAGGGUAGAGGUGAAAUUCU
Molecule: ribosomal RNA, 583 nt
Filed under: uncultured euryarchaeote
Lineage: Archaea; Methanobacteriati; Methanobacteriota
Description: bacterial SSU rRNA
Rfam family: Archaeal small subunit ribosomal RNA
Source: RNAcentral